UACGUAGGGUGCAAGCGUUAAUCGGAAUUACUGGGCGUAAAGCGUGCGCAGGCGGUUUUGUAAGACAGAUGUGAAAUGCCCGGGCUCAACCUGGGAACUGCAUUUGUGACUGCAUGGCUAGAGUUUGGCAGAGGGGGGGUAGAAUUCCACGUGUAGCAGUGAAAUGCGUAGAUAUGUGGAGGAAUACCGAUGGCGAAGGCAGCCCCCUGGGUCAAGACUGACGCUCAUGCACGAAAGCGUGGGGAGCAAACAAGG
Molecule: ribosomal RNA, 255 nt
Filed under: uncultured bacterium
Lineage: Bacteria
Description: partial 16S ribosomal RNA
Rfam family: Bacterial small subunit ribosomal RNA
Source: RNAcentral